AGAAGGUGACACUCCCGUCCGCCUGGCAGAGUGAGUCAUUUGUCAACGAGUCGAGUUGUUUGGGGUUGCAGCUUUAAUUUGGUGGUAAACUCCAUCUAAAGCUAGAUAUUGGUGGGAGACCGAUAGCGUACAAGUACCGUGAGGGAAAGAUGCAAAGAACUUUGAAAAGAGAGUUAAAGAGUACCUGAAACUGCUGAAACGGAAGCGAAGGAAACCAGUGUUUGUUUGUUCAUAUUUCCCUAGCCACUUGUGGCUUGGGCGCUGUGGGCUUGCGUGAGUUUGGGUUGGUUGAUUCCUUUGGAAGAGCGCAGUCAGAGUUGAUGUCU
RNAcentral lists this ribosomal RNA (326 nucleotides) under Pseudo-nitzschia multiseries. Its description in RNAcentral is "partial large subunit ribosomal RNA". It matches the Rfam family "Eukaryotic large subunit ribosomal RNA", at positions 207 to 540 of the family's 3401-position model. Lineage: Eukaryota; Bacillariophyta; Bacillariophyceae; Bacillariales; Bacillariaceae. The record is from RNAcentral.